This is a small RNA of Coxiella burnetii RSA 493, 148 nucleotides long. It matches the Rfam family "Coxiella burnetii sRNA 12". The record is from Rfam. Lineage: Bacteria; Pseudomonadati; Pseudomonadota; Gammaproteobacteria; Legionellales; Coxiellaceae.
CUGGAGGGUCUGCAGCGGGCUUCCUUGCCCAAAAACUUCAUCCUUGAUACACAGACCUUAGACUACCUCAUUACGUUUAGAGUACACCGAGGACUUCCUUGUCCACCAAGAUCCUAGAGACCUCAGCUAAACUACCUUGUUUAUCAGC